CCGGCGGGGGACCUCAGGGUCCCGGCCGAGCCCUAAUCGGAGAACGAACAGCCUGAAAAACUCAUGGUCGGGAUGUGGAGAAACUGAACGGCCUCCCCGGGCCCGUGCCAAUUACAACGCCCCCCCCCCAACUUUUGUUGAACAAAAACACCAGCUGAGGUGCUGGAAGCGUGUAAUUAAGUCUAGUUUCUCUGUCCACAUUCCACUCGGCUCCAGUUACGUGCAGUGUUAAGUGUGCGUGGGUCUUGUGGGGACUCCAGUCAAGUAAACUUACAACUCAUCCCCUUUGGAGAAUUAACUGCUUUUUGAUUUGUUUUUUAACUUUUCGAAUUAAUUAUUAGAUUCACAGUUGCAAAUAUAGUACAGACCUCUGCGGUCUGCCCCCCCAAAACCCACGAACCCUGUGAGAAAAACACCGGGCAGACCCAGACUGAAGGGAUCGCGUGGAAUACCUGACGGGCGCUUCUCAGGACACCACCGGGAGAAAGAGGAAUCAAGAAGAUGAUCUCCAUUAGGAUACAGGAACACAGCAAUCGACCAAAAGCCCAGGGGAAAGGAAAGCCAAGAUGACGCAGAGCUGGAGGCCAUCCCUCUCCCCAGGACAAAGUCAGCAGGGCCCACGGAGCAUGUAUUCAACAGUGAGGAUGGGAUGCGUUUCAUGUCGUAGAUGGCAAUUAGCACCUGUGUCUCACUUCAGAGAUUUCUAGACAGAUGAGGCAAGUCACUGAACAUAACACGUUAACAUGACUUCGAACCAAGCAGCCAGCCCGAGGUUCUGCCAGGCUGAUGAGCUCUGUGGAGCUGGGCGGUUCACAGCCUCUGUCGCAGCAGGGGCCACGGCGCACCUUCAAGAGGACGUUCCGGGGAGCGAGCAGCGAUGACUUCCUGCCACGUCAUUUUCCUCCAGCGCAAAACAAGCAAGGAUAGGGACAGACUUACCCUCUCCCAGUCGUCAGGGUAAGUGGUUACGGCCUGAACAGCGUGGAGAUUUGUAGUGAACCGUUGCAGGGCUGAAGUCUUAGUCAUGUUUUAAAUAUCAUUUGAAUUUUUUGUUUUUAACGAAAUUGCCUAAUAAAGUCUUUAUUACAUUUAAAAUUCUUUCAUACUAGAAGACACAAAAAUUGAUUCUUUCUUAUUCAACCUCUAGUGAAUACUGGCUUUCCCCCACUUUCUAGAAGACACAAAAAUUGAUUCUUUCUUAUUCAACCUCUAGUGAAUACUGGCUUUCCCCCACUUUUCUGUAACCUAGUUUAUCUCUAAUUUUGUAUAAAAAUUCCUCCCUUUCUAUAUUUUGAGAAGAGGGUGGACUACUUAUGAGGCAGGUAGUAAUGAAGUUCUGGUCCAGUUUUAGUACAUAUAUAAAUGAAGGUAAAACCAUACAAAUACUCAUAGGAAAAGAGCAGCACAGAUUUUUGAUUGACUCAACAAAUAUCUAUGGAGUAUAUAUUAUGUAUAGGGAGUAGGAUGGCUGAUAAUAUUCUAUAUCAAGACAGGACUAGAGCCCUGGACAGUUUGGCUUAGUGGUUAGAGCACUGGCCUGUGGACUGAAAGGUUCUGGGUUCAG
Molecule: non-coding RNA, 1564 nt
Organism: Miniopterus natalensis
Lineage: Eukaryota; Metazoa; Chordata; Mammalia; Chiroptera; Miniopteridae
Source: RefSeq, a predicted model, not a curated record